Molecule: ribosomal RNA, 334 nt
Filed under: uncultured Anoxybacillus sp.
Lineage: Bacteria; Bacillati; Bacillota; Bacilli; Caryophanales; Anoxybacillaceae
Description: bacterial SSU rRNA
Rfam family: Bacterial small subunit ribosomal RNA
Source: RNAcentral
GGUUGUCGUCAGCUCGUGUCGUGAGAUGUUGGUUAAGUCCCGCAACGAGCGCAACCCUCGACCCUAGUUGCCAGCAUUCAGUUGGGCACUCUAAGGUGACUGCCGGCUAAAAGUCGGAGGAAGGUGGGGAUGACGUCAAAUCAUCAUGCCCCUUAUGACCUGGGCUACACACGUGCUACAAUGGGCGGUACAAAGGGUCGCGAACCCGCGAGGGGGAGCCAAUCCCAAAAAGCCGCUCUCAGUUCGGAUUGCAGGCUGCAACUCGCCUGCAUGAAGCCGGAAUCGCUAGUAAUCGCGGAUCAGCAUGCCCGCGGUCGAAUACGUUCCGGGCCUU